GCCAGGCUUGGUGGUCCACGCCUGUAAUCCCAGUGACUCGGGAGGCUGAGGCAGGAGGAUUGCAAGUUUGAGGCCAGCCUCAGCAACUGUAGCAAGACCCUGUCUCAA
RNAcentral lists this small RNA (108 nucleotides) under Marmota monax (woodchuck). Lineage: Eukaryota; Metazoa; Chordata; Mammalia; Rodentia; Sciuridae. The record is from RNAcentral.